AGCAACUUGGCAGGGGAUGGGGGUGAAGGAUGGGGAGUGAGUUUUUUUUUUUUUAGCUUAUGCUUCCAGGUAACAAUCCAUCACUGAGUGAAGUCAGAGCUGGAACUCAAAGAAGGAACCUGGAGUAGAACCUAUAGCAGAAGGCUGUUAACCAUCUUGCUCUUUGGAUCAUGCUUAGAUAGUUUUCUUACACAGGCCAAGACUGUCUGCCUAGGGAUGAUGCUGCCCACAGUGGACUUGGCCCUCCUACAUCAACGAGUAGUUGAGGCAAUGCCUCGCAGGCCACUGUGAUCUAAGUAAAUCCUAGCUUUCCUCUUCCCAGGUGAUUCAAAGCUGUGUCAAGUUGACAAUGAAAACCAACCAGCAAGCAAGUCACGUGUGCACCUGCUCAGUUUCCGAAUGGAGAUCACGAUGAAAUCGAAAUGAGGAUAAACGACGAUUAAAAAAAAUGUCCAUCUGCUCAACCAGCUGUGACUAAAACUUGACCCUACUUCAUGGAGUAGAAUGAGUUAAUUCUGUGGAUGAUACAAUAUUGAAUUAUUUAUACAACCAUCACAAGGAAGCCACCAGUCAACCCACACAGUUCCAUUGUGCGUGGAGGUGUGUAUAAGCUCUAUCUACAGCAGCACACCCCUGAAUAUGCCCAAUACUGUUGAAAAGUGCAAGCUUUGGUUGAAGAGACACACAGCCCUGGCUCAGACCCCAGAUGGCCAAGAACUGACCAGAUACUGUGCAAGCAACUAUCUCCCUCCCAGUGUAAUCCAUCUUAACGGUAUUUGACUUUUGUUUGCUAUGGAAACUAUGUUGUUUGGAAAUAUCAAAAGUGCUAGAAUGGAAGCCAAGCUAAAUGUUGGUUUCGGUCAGGCCAUGUUUUCCCUUCUGAGAAAAGCCACUCCAAGUAGCACUUCUAGCUUCCAGUGAUCCUUGCCUCAAUGUCAGGGGGAAAGCCUGGCUCCUGAGAGUGCAGUUAGUGUGCUUGAGCCGAAGAAGCUGGGAUCCAAGCAGGAUAUGAGGUAGCUUCAGAUAAGGAUGUGAGACCAAUGCCCAGUCCCCAAGAGAAGGAACGACACACACCAAGGUCCUGGGUUGAGCUGGAUGAGACGAAGAAAACAAGUGGGAGAAGCUUGAGAAAGGGAGCAGAAAGAAGAAAUACAAGAGUGCGGAAUGUAACGGAAUCUACAGAAGGCUGUAACAUAACAUUCUAAUUGAACACACCCUGGGGAAUUUCUGUGGAAAUAUUUCUGGAUUUGGGUGUUUCUGUCCCUCACUCUUCCUGGACACAUACGAGUCACAUCAAAGGAAUUCGUUAAAAGGAAUCGUCUGGUGUCCUUUGUGGUUGGAAUGGUUUUAAAAGGUCUCAGCUGACUGACAGGCAGUGGAGACGUGAAAUCCCAGACUCUCAGUUCUUCUUCAGUUCCAAAUUGUCAAGUUGCUGAUGGUGCAGUCUCUCCUAGAGUUUGUUUGGGGAAGCAGCAGACGGAUGAAAAGGAGAAACUGUAUUUUACUUAAAUGAGCUCCCUCCAUUCGUGCAGCAUGUGAUUAGGCGGCUGUGUUAGGACCAGAAUCAUUUUACAUUCCUGAAGGGUGACACUCUGGGACUUGGUCUCCGACCUGGUAAUAGCCUGGACCAAAGACUGGGAAAAAGAAUUCCAAAAUAAGAGAAAGUCGGCGGAGGGUGGGAAGACAGGCAAGCCAGUGCUGUGGGGACACUUGGCUGGCCUUGCUUAGCCACAGGACUCCAGAAGGGAAAGGAUGAGGCCGUUCCAUGCAGCAGCCCUUCUCCAUGGCUCUACUUGAUACAAGCCAGGUGUCCCAUGCAAAGAACAUCAGGAACUGUCCCAGGCACCUUCUACCCAGUCUUGAACUUCCUCUCUUUGUAUUAACCCAGAACUUUCUGUCACAUGGUCAUGUGACAUGUCUUUCUUCCACAAGAGCAAAGCAAGUAUGGGGAAAACAGAUAUGAACAAUCCCACCUUAAAGAGAAGGGGAUCCCUUGGUGUCACCAGCUGCUAGGGAGGGGGCAGGAGGACUUCACAGCAGAAUUAGCAUCUAAUUGGGAUGCUGAAGGGUGACUCGAGUUUGCUAGUGGGUUAGGACAGAACACAUUUCCAGCAGAAUGGGAAUCAGCCACUAUGCAUGGAUUCAUUCCCAAGUAGAUUUUAUUUUAUCCCUAAGUUUCAACUCUGAGCCUGCCCUCGAGUACUUCCAGUCCAGUGAGGACUACCUUGAAGGCAUCCUACAUGAAUAGUAAGUGGAUGGUUUGGGGAAGGUCAUGGACCAGUGGACACUCCACAGCUUCCUUGGGAGCAAGAGGCCAGGCUGAAAUAAAUGUCAAGGAGACAAGGAGGGCACAACUCAAGAGAGUCGCUGCAGACGCAGGAGAUAUUAGACAAAAGUUCGAGAAAAUGCUCCCUGUAGGUGGUAGGGGUGACGUGCACAAGAAGGAGAGGGGAGUAAGACAGAAGUUACCCCUUGGGAUGUCAGGAAGCAGAGAGAAGACUCUAGUGGGAACUAAACUCAGCUAUAACCCGUUGAGUCCGCCCUCAGAAACUCUUCCUCCAGGGAAGCCCCACCUCCUGGAUGCUACAGCUUUUUCCAACAGGGCCACCAGCUGGAGACCAAGUGUUGAAAUACAUGAACCUUGUAGGCCAUGUUCACAUUCUAACUGUAAUAAGAACCAGUAAGGAUUUCAUUCUGAAGACCAAGAACGUUGGUUUUUAUAAUGAGUGUGUCUGGCUAGAAGGAUGUCCUAGUGCCUAAGAACAACGGUUGCUCUUUCCAGGGAUCUAGACUCCUUUCCCAGCACCCACAUGGCAACUUAGAGCCACCGGUAACUGUAGUUCCCAGGGAUCUGACGCCCUCUUCUGGCCUCCAAAGGUACCAGGCGCACAUGUGGGGCACAUACAUACAUGCAACAAAGCACUCAUAAGCAUCAAAUAAGGCUAAAUAAAUCUUUAGAAAUCAAACUGGCAUGUUUUAUUCUUCAAUUACAUAAAUAUACCCGUAGAGUGAACAAAACUCAGAGAAUGUGAAAAGCAUAGUUACAAUGGCUAACUAAGAUGUAAUAAAUAUUAGAUGUACA
Molecule: non-coding RNA, 3082 nt
Organism: Rattus norvegicus (Norway rat)
Lineage: Eukaryota; Metazoa; Chordata; Mammalia; Rodentia; Muridae
Source: RefSeq, a predicted model, not a curated record